This is a long non-coding RNA of Cyprinus carpio (common carp), 1008 nucleotides long. The record is from Ensembl. Lineage: Eukaryota; Metazoa; Chordata; Actinopteri; Cypriniformes; Cyprinidae.
AUGAACUGUUUUUGUAAUGUUGCAGAGCCAAAUCCUCCUCAGAAUCUCACAGUGACAGCUGUCACGUCCAGUCAGAUUGCAUUGUGUUGGACUGCCCCCGAUUCUACCCAGAAUGCUCAGUUUGAGCACUUCAUCCUGCACUGGGUGGAUCUAGUCUCUGGCAGAGGCCUUGCCACACGCUUGGAAAAGAUGAAUCGGAGCGCUGUGAUUGGUGGGUUGAAGGCGUAUCGUGCUCACAGGAUCACAGUUGUGUCUGUCACAGCUCAAGGUGUGGAAAGCUCUGACAGUCUGUCCGUGACUGUUAUCACAGAGGUUAGUCCUCCACGCAGGGUCUCGGUUGAUGCCGUGGGUCUGGAGAACAUGACUGUGUGCUGGUGGCCUUCACUGGACGAGGAAGUUGAUAAAUAUUACAUCCAGCUCCACCCACAGACAAAUCAGGCUCAAACUAGAGAAUUCUGGGUAAAUGGCUCCACCUGCAUCUCUCUUACACAGCUCAAAUCAGGUGGGACAUAUGAAGUGGGAGUGGCUGCAGUGAAGGGCAGAAAUAUGAGCAUAGUGACAACCAUACAACAGACUCUAAGUAUGAUUCAUUUCUGUUUUAAUCUUCCAUUUCCUCCAUGAUGCUUCUUUUUUAGUCUACAAAAUGUAUUUUCGAUUCUUCUUUCAGAACCUGAUAGCAUCCAGAUUGCUGUGCCAUACACAGUUGACACACACUCUGUGGAGCUCUUUGUGCAGAUGCCCAGAAACAGCAUUUAUGACGGCAUCACCGUUACUUACCAGAAUAAUCGAUCCUGGACACCAGUGUCCACAGACAGCACCAAACUGUUAGUCGACAACCUGAGUCCAGGAACACAGUAUGACUUUAAUGUGUUUGUGACCAGCAGAGACACGAGCAGUGAAGGCUUUGCUCUGCCACCUGUGAGAACCUGUGAGAAAACAUUUCAGAAACUUUUACUUUUAUUGCUGAAAAAGUACAAUACUGGUCAAAAGUCUGAAAUAUUUUGGAAG